GCUAUUUAGGUAGCGCCUCGUGUGAAUACCGUGCGGGGUAGAGCACUGGAUGGGCUAGGGCCGCCCACAGCGGUACCAAACCCAACCAAACUCCGAAUACGCACGAGUACUGCUCGGGAGACACACGGCGGGUGCUAACGUCCGUCGUGGAGAGGGAAACAACCCUGACCGACAGCUAAGGCCCCCAAUUCGUGGCUAAGUGGGAAAGGAUGUGGGACUCCCAAAACAACC
This 231-nucleotide ribosomal RNA is filed under the name Vibrio parahaemolyticus. RNAcentral describes it as "partial 23S ribosomal RNA". It matches the Rfam family "Bacterial large subunit ribosomal RNA", at positions 865 to 1094 of the family's 2925-position model. The record is from RNAcentral. Lineage: Bacteria; Pseudomonadati; Pseudomonadota; Gammaproteobacteria; Vibrionales; Vibrionaceae.